Molecule: ribosomal RNA, 492 nt
Filed under: uncultured bacterium
Lineage: Bacteria
Description: partial 16S ribosomal RNA
Rfam family: Bacterial small subunit ribosomal RNA
Source: RNAcentral
AGUGAACGCUGGCGAUAGGCCUAACACAUGCAAGUCGAACGGCAGCACAGUAAGAGCUUGCUCUUACGGGUGGCGAGUGGCGGACGGGUGAGGAAUACAUCGGAAUCUACUUUUUCGUGGGGGAUAACGUAGGGAAACUUACGCUAAUACCGCAUACGACCUACGGGUGAAAUCAGGGGAUCUUCGGACCUUUCGCGAUUGAAUGAGCCGAUGUCGGAUUAGCUAGUUGGCGGGGUAAAGGCCCACCAAGGCGACGCUCCGUAGCUGGUCUGAGAGGAUAAUCAGCCACACUGGAACUGAGACACGGUCCAGACUCCUACGGGAGGCAGCAGUGGGGAAUAUUUGACAAUGGGCGCAAUCCUGAUCCAGCCAUACCGCGUGGGUGAAGAAGGCCUUCGGGUUGUAAAACCCUUUUGUUGGGAAAGAAAAGCAGUAGGUUAAUACCCCGCUGUUCUGACGGUACCCAACGAAUAAGCACCGGCUAACUUCGUG